Molecule: non-coding RNA, 73 nt
Organism: Chlamydoabsidia padenii
Lineage: Eukaryota; Fungi; Mucoromycota; Mucoromycetes; Mucorales; Cunninghamellaceae
Source: the annotation of a GenBank genome assembly
GCCGUGAUGGCGUAAUGGCUAUCGCAUCGGAUUGCAGAUCCGCAGGUUCCCGGUUCGAAUCCGGGUCGCGGCU